AAUAUUGGGCAAUGGGCGCAAGCCUGACCCAGCAACGCCGCGUGAGGGAAGAAGGUCUNCGGAUUNUNAACCUCUGUCCUUGGUGNCGAAGGAAGUGACGGUAGCCAAGGAGGAAGCCCCGGCUAACUACGUGCCAGCAGCCGCGGUAAUACGUAGGGGGCGAGCGUUGUCCGGAAUUACUGGGCGUAAAGGGUGCGUAGGCGGUACUUUAAGUUGGAUGUGAAAUACCCGGGCUUAACUUGGGGGGUGCAUCCAAUACUGGAGAACUAGAGUGCAGGAGAGGGAAGCGGAAUUCCUAGUGUAGCGGUGAAAUGCGUAGAUAUUAGGAGGAACACCAGUGGCGAAGGCGGCUUUCUGGACUGUAACUGACGCUGAGGCACGAAAGCGUGGGGAGCAAACAG
Molecule: ribosomal RNA, 401 nt
Filed under: uncultured bacterium
Lineage: Bacteria
Description: partial 16S ribosomal RNA
Rfam family: Bacterial small subunit ribosomal RNA
Source: RNAcentral